AAACUGAAGAGUUUGAUCCUGGCUCAGAUUGAACGCUGGCGGCAUGCCUUACACAUGCAAGUCGAACGGCAGCACGGGUGCUUGCACCUGGUGGCGAGUGGCGAACGGGUGAGUAAUACAUCGGAACAUGUCCUGUAGUGGGGGAUAGCCCGGCGAAAGCCGGAUUAAUACCGCAUACGAUCUACGGAUGAAAGCGGGGGACCUUCGGGCCUCGCGCUAUAGGGUUGGCCGAUGGCUGAUUAGCUAGUUGGUGGGGUAAAGGCCUACCAAGGCGACGAUCAGUAGCUGGUCUGAGAGGACGACCAGCCACACUGGGACUGAGACACGGCCCAGACUCCUACGGGAGGCAGCAGUGGGGAAUUUUGGACAAUGGGCGAAAGCCUGAUCCAGCAAUGCCGCGUGUGUGAAGAAGGCCUUCGGGUUGUAAAGCACUUUUGUCCGGAAAGAAAUCCUUGGUUCUAAUAUA
RNAcentral lists this ribosomal RNA (466 nucleotides) under Burkholderia ambifaria. Its description in RNAcentral is "bacterial SSU rRNA". It matches the Rfam family "Bacterial small subunit ribosomal RNA", at positions 1 to 465 of the family's 1533-position model. The record is from RNAcentral. Lineage: Bacteria; Pseudomonadati; Pseudomonadota; Betaproteobacteria; Burkholderiales; Burkholderiaceae.